CGAAGGGCUAAAAUGCAGUCGAACGGUAACAUUUCUAGCUUGCUAGAAGAUGACGAGUGGCGGACGGGUGAGUAAUACUUAGGAAUAUGCCUUUGUGUGGGGGAUAACUAUUGGAAACGAUAGCUAAUACCGCAUAACGUCUUCGGACCAAAGGGGGCUUCGGCUCCCGCGCAAAGAGUAGCCUAAGCGAGAUUAGCUUGUUGGUGAGGUAAAGGCUCACCAAGGCGACGAUCUCUAGCUGUUCUGAGAGGAAGAUCAGCCACACUGGAACUGAGACACGGUCCAGACUCCUACGGGAGGCAGCAGUGGGGAAUAUUGCACAAUGGGGGAAACCCUGAUGCAGCCAUGCCGCGUGUGUGAAGAAGGCCUUCGGGUUGUAAAGCACUUUCAGUUGUGAGGAAAGGUUGAUGGUUAAUACCCAUUAGCUGUGACGUUAGCAACAGAAGAAGGACCGGCUAACUCCGUGCCAGCAGCCGCGGUAAUACGGAGGGUCCGAGCGUUAAUCGGAAUUACUGGGCGUAAAGCGCACGCAGGCGGUUUGUUAAGCUAGAUGUGAAAGCCCUGGGCUCAACCUGGGAAUUGCAUUUAGAACUGGCAGGCUAGAGUUUUGGAGAGGGGAGUGGAAUUCCAGGUGUAGCGGUGAAAUGCGUAGAUAUCUGGAGGAACAUCAGUGGCGAAGGCGACUCCCUGGUCAGUAACUGACGCUCAUGUGCGAAAGUGUGGGUAGCGAACAGGAUUAGAUACCCUGGUAGUCCACACCGUAAACGCUGUCUACUAGCUGUUUGUGGAUUUAAUCCGUGAGUAGCGAAGCUAACGCGAUAAGUAGACCGCCUGGGGAGUACGGCCGCAAGGUUAAAACUCAAAUGAAUUGACGGGGGCCCGCACAAGCGGUGGAGCAUGUGGUUUAAUUCGAUGCAACGCGAAGAACCUUACCUACUCUUGACUACUAGAAACUUUUCAAAGAUGAAUUGGUGCCUUCGGAAUCUAGAUACAGGUGCUGCAUGGCUGCCGCCACUCGGGCCC
Molecule: ribosomal RNA, 1023 nt
Filed under: Glaciecola sp.
Lineage: Bacteria; Pseudomonadati; Pseudomonadota; Gammaproteobacteria; Alteromonadales; Alteromonadaceae
Description: bacterial SSU rRNA
Rfam family: Bacterial small subunit ribosomal RNA
Source: RNAcentral